UACGGAGGGGACUAGCGUUGUUCGGAAUUACUGGGCGUAAAGCGCACGUAGGCGGAUUGGAAAGUUGGGGGUGAAAUCCCGGGGCUCAACCCCGGAACUGCCUUCAAAACUCCCAGUCUAGAGAUCGAGAGAGGUGAGUGGAAUUCCGAGUGUAGAGGUGAAAUUCGUAGAUAUUCGGAGGAACACCAGUGGCGAAGGCGGCUCACUGGCUCGAUACUGACGCUGAGGUGCGAAAGCGUGGGGAGCAAACAGG
RNAcentral lists this ribosomal RNA (253 nucleotides) under uncultured bacterium. Its description in RNAcentral is "partial 16S ribosomal RNA". It matches the Rfam family "Bacterial small subunit ribosomal RNA", at positions 524 to 776 of the family's 1533-position model. The record is from RNAcentral.